RNAcentral lists this transfer RNA (136 nucleotides) under Friedmanniomyces endolithicus. Its description in RNAcentral is "tRNA-Gly". Lineage: Eukaryota; Fungi; Ascomycota; Dothideomycetes; Mycosphaerellales; Teratosphaeriaceae. The record is from RNAcentral.
AGCUUGUUGGCGCAGUGGAAGCGCGUAAGUGUCUCCCGAUGGUGAUUGACGACGAGUUCCGUUCACUGACCAUCGUACAGGCCGGGCUCAUAUCAUUGAAACCCGGAGGUCAUCGGAUCGAGGCCGAUACAAGCUA